CAGCCGCCACGGUAAUACGUAGGGUGCAAGCGUUAAUCGGAAUUACUGGGCGUAAAGCGUGCGCAGGCGGUUAUAUAAGUCAGAUGUGAAAUCCCCGGGCUCAACCUGGGAACUGCAUUUGAGACUGUAUGGCUAGAGUGUGUCAGAGGGGGGUAGAAUUCCACGUGUAGCAGUGAAAUGCGUAGAUAUGUGGAGGAAUACCGAUGGCGAAGGCAGCCCCCUGGGGUAACACUGACGCUCAUGCACGAAAGCGUGGGGAGCAAACAGGAUUAGAGACCCGCGUAGUCCCUGUCUCUUAUAC
This 301-nucleotide ribosomal RNA is filed under the name uncultured bacterium. RNAcentral describes it as "partial 16S ribosomal RNA". It matches the Rfam family "Bacterial small subunit ribosomal RNA", at positions 509 to 807 of the family's 1533-position model. The record is from RNAcentral.